This is a non-coding RNA of Cricetulus griseus (Chinese hamster), 78 nucleotides long. RefSeq annotates it as microRNA mir-15b. NCBI's taxonomy places the organism in Eukaryota, Metazoa, Chordata, Mammalia, Rodentia, Cricetidae. The record is from RefSeq and is marked provisional.
AAAGUACUAUAGCAGCACAUCAUGGUUUACAUACUAUAGUCAAGAUGCGAAUCAUUAUUUGCUGCUCUAGAAAUUUAA